This 854-nucleotide long non-coding RNA is filed under the name Equus asinus (donkey). Its description in RNAcentral is "lncRNA (ENSEASG00005032187.1)". Lineage: Eukaryota; Metazoa; Chordata; Mammalia; Perissodactyla; Equidae. The record is from RNAcentral.
GGGCAAGAUGGCUGCGCCCACUGGCUUCGCUGGGGGGGAGGGACUGUUACUCACACGCGCCAGUCUGGGUUCAGAUCAGUUCUGUUCUCUGGUCUCCCAAGGCCCUUAAUUUAUGGGGUCCCCGCAGAUGGAAGUUAUCCCCCCGUCAGCGGGUCUCCACUGAAUCAGCAGCAGGAGUCCUGGAUGAUCCCCCGGUCGCACGGCCCCUCCCCCGCUCCUUCCUGACGCGCGCGCCGCAGCAAUCUCAGACUCUAAGGGAGGGAGCGAUGUUCUCUCCUACCGUUCCAGUGCCUCCAAAGGUAUUGGUUACUGAUUAUUUGUACCUGACAGGUGGGAUCCAAAGAAACCCCCUCCCCCAGGACUCUGAAGGUGGUGAGCAACCAGGUGCUGGCGUCCCCAGAGCCCCUUGAGCUUGCUGCUUUCUCACUGGGCCUGGAGUUUGGUGUUCCUGCAAAAAUGCUUCAUCUUCAAAGAGAUUCAUGGGAAAGAUCCUGACAAGUACUUUAAAAUGCGGGUUUCUGAUACUUUUAAGAUAGUGACACCGAACUGGAAAAAACAUCACAACAGAUUAUGAAUGGGCAAGCUUCAUACCUGAUGCUGUAUGGGCCACUCAAGAAAGUUCAACAAAACACCUGAUGACAGCAUCAAAGACAGUCAAACUGCAAACCAGGAAAGUCCAUCAGACUAAAACUGCCAUCCUCAUUGCACCAUCUGAAGAUGCUUCCAACCCAAAUCUAGAAAUGGUCUCAACUGGCUGCUCUCCAAACUCAAAAAAUGAAUUUAUAAUUUGCUCCAACUAUUAACCUUUGUUUUUUCUCUUGUGUCCACAGAAGUGCCUUUAAUUAAAUUACCUG